Molecule: small nuclear RNA, 97 nt
Organism: Erinaceus europaeus (western European hedgehog)
Lineage: Eukaryota; Metazoa; Chordata; Mammalia; Eulipotyphla; Erinaceidae
Source: Ensembl
CAGCACAUAUAUGCUGAAAUUGAAAUUGGAACAAUAAAAAUUAUCAUGGUCCCUGUGCAAGAAUGGCAUGCAAAUUUGUGAAGCAAUUCAGAAUUUU